UACAGAGGUCGCAAGCGUUGUUCGGAUUCAUUGGGCGUAAAGGGUGCGUAGGCGGCGCGGUAAGUCGGGGGUGAAAUCUCGGAGCUUAACUCCGAAACUGCAUUCGAUACUGCCGUGCUUGAGGACUGGAGAGGAGACUGGAAUUUACGGUGUAGCGGUGAAAUGCGUAGAUAUCGUAAGGAAGACCAGUGGCGAAGGCGGGUCUCUGGACAGUUCCUGACGCUGAGGCACGAAGGUCAGGGGAGCAAACGGG
This 253-nucleotide ribosomal RNA is filed under the name uncultured bacterium. RNAcentral describes it as "partial 16S ribosomal RNA". It matches the Rfam family "Bacterial small subunit ribosomal RNA", at positions 524 to 776 of the family's 1533-position model. The record is from RNAcentral.